This 497-nucleotide ribosomal RNA is filed under the name uncultured bacterium. Its description in RNAcentral is "partial 16S ribosomal RNA". It matches the Rfam family "Bacterial small subunit ribosomal RNA", at positions 28 to 507 of the family's 1533-position model. The record is from RNAcentral.
GAUGAACGCUGGCGGCGUGCCUAAUACAUGCAAGUCGAGCGAACAGAUGAGGAGCUUGCUCCUCUGACGUUAGCGGCGGACGGGUGAGUAACACGUGGAUAACCUACCUAUAAGACUGGGAUAACUUCGGGAAACCGGAGCUAAUACCGGAUAAUAUAUUGAACCGCAUGGUUCAAUAGUGAAAGACGGUUUUGCUGUCACUUAUAGAUGGAUCCGCGCCGCAUUAGCUAGUUGGUAAGGUAACGGCUUACCAAGGCGACGAUGCGUAGCCGACCUGAGAGGGUGAUCGGCCACACUGGAACUGAGACACGGUCCAGACUCCUACGGGAGGCAGCAGUAGGGAAUCUUCCGGAAUGGGCGAAAGCCUGACGGAGCAACGCCGCGUGAGUGAUGAAGGUCUUCGGAUCGUAAAACUCUGUUAGUAGGGAAGAACAAAUGUGUAAGUAACUAUGCACGUCUUGACGGUACCUAAUCAGAAAGCCACGGCUAACUACGUG